UGGCGGCAGGCUACCAUGCAAGUCGAGCGCGCCUUCGGGUGAGCGGCGGACGGGUUAGUAACGCGUGGGAACGUGCCCAGCUCUGCGGAAUAGCCUCUGGAAACGGAGAGUAAUACCGCAUACGCCCUUUUGGGGAAAGAUUUAUCGGAGUUGGAUCGGCCCGCGUUAGAUUAGGUAGUUGGUGGGGUAAUGGCCUACCAAGCCUACGAUCUAUAGCUGGUUUUAGAGGAUGAUCAGCAACACUGGGACUGAGACACGGCCCAGACUCCUACGGGAGGCAGCAGUGGGGAAUCUUAGACAAUGGGGGAAACCCUGAUCUAGCCAUGCCGCGUGAGUGAGGAAGGCCCUAGGGUCGUAAAGCUCUUUCGCCAGGGAUGAUAAUGACAGUACCUGGUACAGAAACCCCGUGCUAACUCCGUGCCAGCAGCCGCGGUAAUACGGAGGGGGUUAGCGUUGUUCGGAAUUACUGGGACGUAAAGCGCACGUAGGCGGACUGAUAAAUCAGGGGGUGAAAUCCCGGGACUCAAUCCCGGAA
Molecule: ribosomal RNA, 535 nt
Filed under: uncultured bacterium
Lineage: Bacteria
Description: bacterial SSU rRNA
Rfam family: Bacterial small subunit ribosomal RNA
Source: RNAcentral